AUUGACUUUCCCAUCAUAGAAUCUUCAGGAAUACACAUACCUUCAGCAUCUAAUAUUUCAGCUAUGACAAAAUAACAAGAAAAGGACAAUACAGGCACGAGCUUUGAACACUGCUGUAAAGACUCACUGUUAAUUCACAUAAAUGUGAUUGCCAUUUUAUACAUUUUAUCAAAAACAACUUUAGUGUGAAAGUCCAAUUACUAAAAAAUCUUUAGGCAAGUUCUAGUAUUCACAUACCACAGGAUUCCAAUGGUUCAACUUUUCAAUAGUCAAUGAAUUAGGCCAAUAAUUAGAAUAAAAUGUAUGCAUAGCAUGUUUAUAAUAAUUUUUUACCCAAAUAGUUCAAAUAUAACAUGUUCUGAAGA
Molecule: long non-coding RNA, 365 nt
Filed under: Homo sapiens (human)
Lineage: Eukaryota; Metazoa; Chordata; Mammalia; Primates; Hominidae
Description: HSALNT0374418
Source: RNAcentral